CCCUUAGAUGUUCUGGCCCGCACGCGCGCUACACUGAUGCAUUCAACGAGCCUAUCCUUGACCGACAGGUCCGGGUAAUCUUUGAAUCUGCAUCGUGACGGGGAUAGAUUAUUGCAAUUAUUAAUCUUCAACGAGGAAUGCCUAGUAGGCGCAAGUCAUCAGCUUGCGUCGAUUACGUCCCUGCCCUUUGUACACACCGCCCGUCGCUCCUACCGAUUGGGUGUGCUGGUGAAAUGUUCGGAUCGGCCGUUUGUCGCGGUUUCCGCGUCAUGUGGCUGAGAAGUUCAUUAAACCCUCCCACCUAGAGGAAGGAGAAGUCGUAACA
This 325-nucleotide ribosomal RNA is filed under the name uncultured eukaryote. Its description in RNAcentral is "partial 18S ribosomal RNA". It matches the Rfam family "Eukaryotic small subunit ribosomal RNA", at positions 1470 to 1796 of the family's 1831-position model. The record is from RNAcentral.